This is an RNA transcript of Anopheles stephensi (Asian malaria mosquito), 10045 nucleotides long. It is a transcript of the gene named neuroglian, with no coding region annotated. Lineage: Eukaryota; Metazoa; Arthropoda; Insecta; Diptera; Culicidae. The record is from RefSeq and is a predicted model, not a curated record. The transcript has 10 exons.
GCUUCGCAAGCGUCGAUGCGUUCAUCUGCUGUCCCAGCGCAGUUCAUUUGUCUUGAACGUCUCGAAGCGUACGGAUGUUUGUCCGUGCCGUCGCGGCCAGUGAGCAGUGAAACACAGUUGCAGCUGUACAAAGGAGAAGAAAAACACUGUACGUCGAUUACGAGCAAAGGUUCAGUGCUGCUGGUGUGUUUUUGUGCUUGCGUCACUGUUUGUGUGUUCGAAAACUCCAUCAUCAAACCCAGCAGCAAUCAACCUUUAAGCGUGGCACCACCGUGCUGCCGGAACAGAAGAAAAGCGGGGUUAAACCGUGUCACAUACACCAAUCAAACGAGAAGCGUUCCCGAAGGAUAGGAAACGAAUACCGGAUUCCAUUUCUGCGUCUAAUGCUGAGCUAAUCGAAAGCAACUUCGAUUCCGCUAGAGAUACAGACUUGGGAGAUCCGCCGAGAUCUUCAUCCACUCGGAUCCCCCUUAAAAACUCCGCCACAAACGUGUGUGAGCGCGUGUCCUGGUAAGCGUCCGACGGCGUCGUCCUCUUGGUGAGGACAAACACACCCCUCAUUCCCGAUGUGGACGACACACCAUCGAACCGGCCAUGUUGCCGGUGGCCGCCAUCGUUGCUCCACGGCCCAGCUACUCCUAGCCGCCGCCAUCAUGCUGAUGCUCAACGUGCUGACAGUGCACAGUUUAAUACAUUCGCCGCCGCGCAUCAUCAAGCAACCGCCACCGGACGAGAUGCUGUUCCAGGUCGCUCAGCAGGGCGAAAGUGACAAACCCUUCCUGAUCGAGUGCGAAGCGGAAGGUGAACCGACACCGAAAUAUCGCUGGAUCAAGAACGGCAAAAAGUUCGAAUGGCAAACGUACGACGAUCGGAUGUCGCAACAGCCAGGGCGUGGUACGCUGGUCAUUACGUCACCGCGCGACGAAGAUCUUGGCCAGUAUCAAUGUUUCGCCGAAAACGAGCACGGUACCGCCACGUCCAACUCGGUGUUUGUGCGCAAGGCCGAGCUGAACUCGUUCAAGGACGGUUCGCCGCAAACGGUACAGGCGGACGAGGGCAAACCGUUUAAGCUCGUGUGUCAACCACCGGACGGUUGGCCGAAACCGAACGUGUACUGGAUGAUCCAGAACAUGGACGGUGGCAUCCGGAGCAUUAACAACUCGCGCAUGACCCUCGACCCGGAAGGUAACCUGUGGUUUUCGAACGUGACGCGCGACGACGAGUCGAACGAUUUCUUUUACGCGUGUGCCGCAUCGUCCGUGUUCCGAAGCGAGUACAAAAUCGGCAACCGGGUGUUGCUGCAGGUGCGCCAGACCGGCAUCUCGGCCGCCCAGAACCGCCACGCCCCGCAGCGCCAGUACGUGUCGCGCAAGAACGAGGUCGCGCUGAAGGGCAAACAGAUUGAGCUGUUCUGUAUCUACGGUGGUACGCCGCUGCCCGAGACGGUGUGGACGAAGAACGGGCGCGCCAUCAUUUGGAACGAUAAGAUCCAGCAGGAUAACUACGGCAAGUCGCUCAAGAUACGGCGCGUCUCGUCGGAGGACGCAGGAACGUACACGUGCGAGGUGUCGAACGGUGUCGGCAAUGCCGAUUCGUACUCGAUCAACCUGGCGGUGAACGCGGUACCGUACUUUACGGUCGAGCCGGAAAUAGUGAACGCGGCGGAAGGGGAAUGGGCCGAGUUCAAGUGCGAGGCGGCGGGUAAUCCGCGACCGAACAUUAUGUGGAUCCACAACGGCAAGCAUAUCGAUUUGAGCUACGCGAACCCGCGCCGUAUCAUCCGCACGAACAGCAUCUACAUCGGGAAGCUGCAGAAGAGUGACACCGGUAACUACGGCUGCAACGCAACCAAUUCGCUCGGCUACGUGUACAAGGAUGUGUACCUGAACGUGUUGGCGCUGGCGCCGGAGAUUACGGAUCCACCGAAGCGCGAGUUCACCGUCGACCAGCGUAACGUGACGAUGACGUGCCGGGUGUUUGGUGCGCCAAAGCCGGAAGUGAAGUGGUUGCGCAACGAUCGGGAGCUGACCGGCGGCCGGUACCAGACGAUGCCGAGCGGCGAUCUGUUCAUUCGGGACGUAAAGUUUGACGACGCGGGCGAGUACAAGUGUUACGCGUUCAACACGCUCGGCAGCAAGUCGGCCGCGGGCGAGCUGAUCGUGAAGGAGCGCACGGUGAUCAACGAUCCGCCGCAGGACUACGAGGCAGAGGCGGGCACAACCGUCACGUUCCGCUGUAACGCCAUCGCCGACUCGUCGCUCGAGCUCACGAUCGAGUGGCUUACCAAGGGUGAGAUCAUUGAUUUCGAAAACCAACCCCGGUUCAUCCGCACGUCGGACAAUUCGCUGAUGAUUUCGAAAACGAUCGAACUGGAUACGGGCAUCUACACCUGUCUGGCGCGUACCGAUCUGGACGAAGUGAUGGCCAACGCAACGCUCACGGUAAUGGACCGUCCGAAUCCGCCCACCCUGACCGCGGUCACGUGCAAGGGUAAGGUGGCGAAGAUUGAAUGGGUGUCGAACGGGGACAACCGUUCGCCCAUCCUGAACUACAUCAUCGAGUACAACACCAGCUUCACGCCGGACACGUACGAUGUACUGUCGGACGAGGUGCCCGGUACGGACUUUGCCUGGGUGGUGAACACGACGCCGUGGAACAAUUACACCUACCGCGUGAUCGCGGUGAACAAGAUCGGCCGCUCGCUACCGUCCGGCCACAGCGAUGUGUGCAGCACGCCCACCAGCGUGCCGUACAAAAACCCGGACAAUCUCGAGGGCGAAGGUACGACGCCGAACAAUCUCGUCAUCAAGUGGCGCCCGCUAGCGCAGGUGGAUCAUAACGCGCCCGGCUUGCAGUACCGGGUGUACUGGCGCAGGGACAUACCGAGCGGGACGUGGAAUUCGGCGGAUGUGCGCGAUUGGCGGCAGUCAAGCUACACGGUCGAGGGGCUGCCCACGUUCACGCGCUACCGCGUCAAGGUGGUGGCGUUUAACGAGCGCGGCGAAGCCAACUCCGGCCCGUGGGAAAUCGAAGCGUACACCGGCGAAGACACACCGUUGGACGCGCCGGGCAACUUUACGCUGAUCCAGGUGACGGGACCAACGGCGGCCAUCCUGAGCUGGAACCCGGUCGAGCCGGGUUCGUUGCGGGGCCAUUUCAAGGGCUACAAGAUCCAAACCUGGACCGAGGCGGACGGGGAGGAAAAUCUGCGCGAAAUACUGAUCACGGCCGACGCGAAGCAAGCGCUGGUGACGGACUUCAUCCCCGAUGCGACCAACUACGCACGCAUUCUCGCGUACAACGGACGGUACAAUGGGCCCGCCAGUACGACGCUGUCGUUCGAUACGCCCGAAGGUUUGCCGAACACGAUCCAGGCGCUGGAAGCGUUCCCGCUCGGUUCGUCCGCGUUCCUGCUGCGGUGGAAGAAACCGCUCCAGCCGAACGGUAAGCUGACCGGCUACCGGAUCUACUACGAGGAGGUGAAGGGUACGACGGUCGGGCCGCGCAUGGAACGUGAACCGCACAUCUCCGAUCCGGCCGUGCUGGAGGCGAAGCUGGCCCGUCUGAAGCCGGCUUCCAAGUACCGCAUUCACGUGGUCGCCACCACCAAGGCUGGCGAAGGUCAAGAUCUUUACAUCGAACGGGCAACCUCGUCCGGGCUGGGCAUACCACCGGAUGUGCCGAACUUCUACUGGGAAAAUCUUCCCUCGGACAAUGGGCUGGCCAACAUUAAGGUUGUGUGGCAGCCGGCGCUCGGCGGUAAAGCCGGAUCCCACUUCUACGUCAAGUACCGCAUCAAGGACGAAUCGACCUGGCAAACGACCGAUCCGGAGCUGUACGAAAACUAUCUGAUCGUGCACGGCAUCAACCCGGACCAUCUGUACGAGUUCCGGGUCGUGUCGGUCGAUGGCGAAUAUCAGACGGAAUCGGGCACGCAGGAAGUUGACACCUACGGUAUCCAAAGCUCCGUGAAGGUGCCGGGUGAUAAUAUUGCGACCGCCGGUUGGUUUAUCGGUAUGAUGCUGGCGAUUGCCUUCCUGAUACUGGUGCUGAUCAUCAUCUGCAUCGUGAAGCGUAACCGUGGCGGCAAGUACGAUGUGCACGACCGUGAACUGGCGAACGGCCGCAACGACUACACCGAGGAGGGCGGAUUCCCGGAGUACUCGCAACCUGUUUUACGUGAUUACAGUUUGGACAAUAAAAGCCAGGGCCGACAAUCGCUGAACUCGCAAAAAGUAGGACCGGAAAGUGAUACAGAUUCCAUGGCGGAAUACGGUGAAGGUGAUACAGAAGGUAUGAAUGAGGACGGCUCCUUCAUCGGGCAGUACGGGCGGAAGGGUGGCAAAAAUGCGGAUAGCAAUUCGCAGGCGUUCGCAACACUAGUUUAGUUUAGUAUAGUAGCGAGAGGCGCAUAGAGAUCGAAAAAAGAGAGAAGAAAAUAAAACAGGAUUAAUUUUAGCUUAGCAAGGGAGAAUACCGCAUGUAGUAUGAGAGCGCGAUACAGCGAGUGAGCGCGUUUUCCAAACACAAAAUCACUUCAAGUGCGUCACAAGAAGAAGAAAGAUAGGUUGAAUAUGCAUAUAUCGUUGUGUAUGUAAGAGUUUGGAGUAGAACUAAGUUUUUUUUUUUCAUUCAACAACCUGUUCGCGUGGACGUGUCCUGCUAAUCUUACUACUUCCUCUCAAGCACGCUCUAGCAAACGCGUCGACGAGAGACAGCAUUAAGGAUGUAUAAGGCUGGGGAGAGUUAUUGUGUCCAUUAGACCCAUGUGCGCCGCGCGCAUGGUGAUAGUCCGGGAAAGUUGUCCCUUCGCGACACGGAGGAUGGUAACCGUCUGCAUCCGCUGCUGUGCGCUCGUUAUUGGUCCGCAGAACGCGACGGGUGGUAAUGUUAAACAUAGUGUAGUGCUCCGCUGAACGUUUAGCAGCUUAAGCAAAGCCGUGUUCGGAAGCGGUAGAGAAGAAGUAAACGUGAGCUCGAAAUCAAAAGUGAACCCUAUCACAAAACCAACAUACACAAGCGCUUAGGAUGUUAUCUAGCGUGUAAACACACUCGAGUUAAAGAUAUAUAAAGCUAGCAGUUGAACUUGUAUUUUUUUAAAUCGCCUUUCAAUCACGGUUAACCGGUAGCGCGAAACAAAAAGCAACGAAAGGUCCCUGUGCGCGCGCUCGUAUGUUGCUAGGAGGGUGCUAGCUCUGUAGUAGGUAGGGUGUUGUUUGCAAAGCGGUACAAGUAAAGGAUCCUGCGUCGUGUAGCGGACGCCAAUGCCGCCACCCCAACUGCUCCAUCCUAAUGGCACACACAUACACAUGUAGCAGAAAUCACCUCAUCCGCAGAGACCGGGAACGAUCCGAAUGAAAGGCCGCGAUUUUCAGUUUCGGUUUAACCGCAUCUUUAGUUUGGUUGACUUGGCCGCUGUGGGACGUGCGUGCGCGGCGCCUUCUUCACACACACACACCCACACACUCUUCCGUUGCAAAACAAAAAAUGCACGAAAUUAUGUGGUCAAUUUACGGAAGAUGGUUCCUUUAUUGGACAGUACGUACCGGGCAAGCCACCGGUUAGUGCACAAUCGACACCGCAGAAUCCAUCGCUACAGGGCGCUAAUGCUGGCAUGGCAACGUACGUCUAGGCAGAUAAGUGGAAAAAAGCUGGCUUGCAAACAUCAGCCAACACUCGCGGCCCCACAAGCCCCCGUCCCAAAAGGGAGCAGCAGGCAGCAACGUAUGAUGUAACGUCGUACUCCAGCUGUGUGGGGGUGACGCAUUCUCGCCUCCUAGCUUAAUCGAACGAAUCGAAGGAUAGUAGUGCACGGAUAGAGAGGAAGAAGAAGAUUACACACUGCCGAAAUUCCCGUCAAACAUCACUCUGAGGUUGCAACAGCUAGAGAGAGAGAGAGAGAGAGAGAGCUCUACUCUUAAUAUCCUUUUCAUCGAUGUUCGACGGAAAAGGAAAAAGUUUGAAUGUUGUACUGAGAUAGCAGCCGCCAUGUGCAAAGCUUCGGGCAAGCAAAAAACAAUCGCACCAGGAGCACAGAUAUUAAAAAUUGAAGAUCUUUUUCUUAGGGCAAUGUUGUGUGUGUGGAGUGCGUGACGAUCGCCGCACGGGAACUUAUCGGAUCGUUUAAUCGUUAUUGUGUUUGUUUUUACUUUCUUUUUAUUCUGUUUCGAAAUGUUUUAUAUAUAGAUCAGUGUCUCUCUCUCAAUAUUAUCCAACCAGAAAUCUCGUUUUUAUUGCAAAUUUAAUUUACUGAAUGAAGAUUUUUCGACACGGACACUCAAUAAGAUAACGAAAACCUUUCUCGAAUAAAAUACUGCCUGUCCAGUUUUUUUCGGUCAGUGAACCCGAAGCUAGGAGAUAUUGGCGUACACACGGAUGUAUCGUUAACGUUAAAAGCGUCUCAGCUCUCAAACUUCUCACAAACAAUGAAUCUCUGUUAGUAGGCAAAAGCGGUUGUUUAACAUCGACAAACACACACACCCCCGCUACAGAAUGUCGCACAAUCUCAUUGUGCCGAAUGUCGUGCUUUUUUUUCGAACAGUAAAGGCGUACGGCACCCCAAUUUUUUGCGUCCAUUUGUAUGUAGAAAUCUCAAUUAGGUUUUUUUUUUCUUCUAGGUAGCUACAUGUGUUUGUUUUAUCCAUCAAGAAAGCCUUUUUUAAAUGAAGUGAAACACAUAUUUUAGACUUAGUUCGCUCUCUCUCCCUCUCUCUCUCUCUAUUGCGCUCUGUGUCGAGCGGAUUAUUUUUUUGCGGGAGGUACGAGAGGGAGCGCCGCCUCACGCCAGGAUUAUUAAUCCAACCUUCUGGGCGCAGCUAUUCAGGGCAACGAAGAACAUUCAAAUACGAAUUAGCAAAACCAUCACACACACAACUCCGUCUCCACGCGCUACAGCUAACAAAUUGUAUCACAAUUUAUGUUGUUGUUAUCUUUAUGUGUAUCUGUAUAUCGUGUAUAUGUAAUAAGUCCGCGCCGGGAGGAGCACCUGUCCGUUAUGAGUGUGUGUGAACCGCUUCCCUUACCCCACCCCACGGAAUACCCAAACACAAACCGUUCUUUAACCGACUUUCGUUUUGAGGGCACCCACUGAGGGGUGCCUUUAAGGCGCGCGUGGAUUAAAGGAGGUGAGCGAAAUUCAGGCGAAAAAAGCGAAAAAAAAUCGAACGAACUUUACUACAGUGCAGAAGUUAUACAAAGCAAGAAAAGCAGAAAGAAAACUUUACAUUUUCCCGUGUAAGAAUAAUUGAAAUCGAGCAACACAAUAUUUUUGUUCCUUCAGUUUUUUUUUUAUUUCAAGAAGGAAACAUUGAGCGGAAUUCUUUAUUUUUAACAUAAUUUAUAAUAAAACAUUACUAGGAACUGUAUCACUUUAGUUGUUUUUUUUUUAAUUUUUAAAUCUCUUUAAAAUUUGUUUUUUUGUAAUUUUCUUCUUGUUUUCUUUCGAGCUUUGUUUUAUUUCUUUUCAGAUUAAAAUUACUUCCUCCAAUCUGCGCGAUCUCUCCAACAGCUCUCCACACUGAAUUAAAAAAAAAUACAACGGUCCGAACACGUGGCUUGAACUGUAUGUUACCGACCAUAUUAGGUUAUGUAUUUGUGGAUAUGUAUCCGCCGCAAAGCAAAAACAAAAGCAAGCCGUCAAAAACGCACAAACUACUAAGAGAUAACACAAUUGAUAUUCUCGCUCUCUCGCUCUCUCUAAUACAAAACACACAGGGUCUUAGUCCAAAUAUUUAAACUGAUUACUACAAGAAAUGCGUGCGCCACCUGCACACGAUUAGCAAAACAAAACGAAAUGCUGCGUCAUCGAAAAUGAGUCUUCUGUGUGCAGACUAUGUACAGCAGGGCAGGGGGUGUGGGUUUCAGUGGGGUAGUAGCUCUUUAGGAGGAACUCCCUGGUUUUCCAUUCUCCAUCAGAGCGACGGUUCUCUUGAGAUAAUCUCGUCUGUACCCUCUGUAAUUGCUCGAGCUUUCUGAUUAGUUGUUCCCUUAAUGCUACGCACAAACGAAGUAAUGGGAUACCGCCCAAAGACGAGUACAGACGUAAAAAGGGAAUCCUCAGGAAACCAACAAGAAAAACCGAAUUAUAUAGAGGGGUGUGUGCAGUUAAACUUAUUAUUACUCGUAUAUUUGCUUUCUGUUAGCUAAUGCGUACUGUAACUACAGGCACACACAUGUCCCUAUAUAUGCCACCCUUAAAAAUUGCUUCCCAUCCUGGGGAACCACAUAAGGAUUCGAUAAUCGGGCUGCGGAGCUUUGCAAUCAUAUAAUGGAAGCUUGCAAACGAUUUGCGGCAGUGGAAUGCUAGUUGCAAGAUUCCAUUAUAUGAUUGCAAAGUUCCACAACUUUCAUCUGAGUGAUGAAUUCCUUUCUAUGGGUCGAAUCCCCUGGUUAAAAAGCUUACUGAGAGCUAUCCCACACACACACACACUGUUGUGUAAUGAAUAUGUAUGUGUGUGCGUAAGUUACUAUUAAGAAGAUGGGGUUAUUGCUAUUUACGAAACCUCUCUGUGCUAGUACUUUUCUAAUUGGAUAAUUGUUUUCUUUAAAAUGCGGCAAAAAACAAGAAUCGUGUCCUUAGACACAAACACACAUAUACUCUAUAUGAGCCAUUUUGAAUUAUUUAGUAGCUAAUAAUGGUGUUUCCGCAUUUAGUAGGCGUUAGGGUAGCCAGCAGCCACGGCCAAACAAUUGUUGCAAUAUAUACCUACGAGCUUUGUGUUGUCUGUAGGUGCGACAACGAUCCUUAAGAGUUUCGCACACGCUUCCGCUGUCUUAGUUGCUUUGUUUUGCCUUGCUGCCUAAACGGUUUUCUUUAUUUUAUCCCGUUCCCGAUAACGUAGUAGACAAGGGCCGGUGGUGUGUGACCCUUUAUGGGAGGGGAAAGCAAAACCCCCACCCACUUCACACAAUCCGUGAUUGGGAAUGAUGGAGCGAAACGAAAUGAAGUAAAAUAGAAACAAAAUGGCGAAGAUGAUACGAACAACAACAACAAAAAAUGGAAAGAAGUAAUAUUUAUACCAUUAAAAGUAAGGCUUUCUCUAGUAGUGGACGAAGCGGGAAGAAUGGGAGAAGAAGAAGUACCACUAAAACGACUGACUGCAAACGAAGAAGACGGACACACACCGCAUAGGAUUCAAAAAAAAAAAAAAGCAAGAUGGAGGAUGGUGAUGUAUUUAAUUGUUCGGGAUACAUUUGGGGCCAUUUCAAGAGAGAGAGAGCAAGGAUAAAAAGCAGCAUAGUAUUUGUGUGUAUACAAAGAGAUGGGAUAAAAAAACACGCACACACACACACAUAAAUCAGGCAUAUAUGUACGCACAGUUGAGUUGCGCAUUUAUAAAGGCUUGAUUGCAAAAUUGGAUGUCGAUAAAAUGGCGCGCGCGUCCAAUAUGGCGGCGUUAUUGUUUUUCGCUUUAGUAUUAUUCUGUUCUGGGUGGAUUUUUUUCCCCGGGGGAAAGAAAAAGCAAAACGAAUUAUAAAAAAAAAUUCGAAAUAAAAAAAAACUAGUUAGUUUUUAGCACGGGAGAUUAUUGAAGGAACAGGCUUAGAAUCUAAGAGGAGGUGGAGUUUAUUCCGGGGUGAACAACGUAGGGAGUAUAGGUGGGCUGGGGGGAGCGGGAGGAAGGGGAGGGAUAAAAUGAUAUGUUUAGAUUAAACCGCGCAAGUGCUUUUUAAUAUAUUAUUGUAAAAUGCAAACACGCAAGAAGAAGAAAAUUCGCAACCAAAAACAAAAAACUUUGAUGUGUGUGAGACGGUGUAGAAAAACGGACCGACCCAAGAGUGUGUGGGUAGAGGAAGUAGGGUGGUGCUCUCGGGGAAGAGCGUUAACAAACAAACAAAACACUGCAGCUUAUUAGGUUCUAUAUACAUAAUUAUAGUCGUCGAAGAUAUAUAGUCUAACUUUAUUCCAAUUUCCAAAUGCUCCGUUCCUGCUACCUGUCCACCAUUUCCUUUUUCCUGCCUCCUGUGGCAUCGUUCAACCAUUUUGAACAGCUCAUAGAAUCCUGUAGAUCCUUGUCUAUCGCUCCCUGUCCCAAAAAAAAAAAAA